This 254-nucleotide ribosomal RNA is filed under the name uncultured bacterium. Its description in RNAcentral is "partial 16S ribosomal RNA". It matches the Rfam family "Bacterial small subunit ribosomal RNA", at positions 524 to 776 of the family's 1533-position model. The record is from RNAcentral.
UACGUAGGGUCCGAGCGUUGUCCGGAUUUAUUGGGCGUAAAGAGCUCGUAGGCGGUUCCGUAAGUCAGAUGUGAAAACUCAGGGCUCAACCCGGAGACGCCAUCUGAUACUGCGGUGACUGGAGUCUGGUAGGGGAACACGGAAUUCCUGGUGUAGCGGUGAAAUGCGUAGAUAUCUGGAGGAACACCGGUGGCGAAGGCGGCAUCCUGGACCGGCAUUGACGCUGAGGCGCGAAAGCCAGGGGAGCAAACGGG